Molecule: ribosomal RNA, 406 nt
Filed under: uncultured bacterium
Lineage: Bacteria
Description: partial 16S ribosomal RNA
Rfam family: Bacterial small subunit ribosomal RNA
Source: RNAcentral
AUUGAACGCUGGCGGCAGGCUUAACACAUGCAAGUCGAGCGAGAGGCGGACGGGUGAGUAAUGUCUUGGAAACUGCCUGAUGGAGGGGUAUAACUACUGGAAACGGUAGCUACUACUGCAUACCAUCAGAUGUGCUCAGAUGGGAUUAGCUAGUCGGUGGGGUAAUGGCCCACCUAGGCGACGAUCCCUAGCUGGUCUGAGAGGAUGACCAGCCACACUGGAACUGAGACACGGUCCAGACGCCUACGGGAGGCAGCAGUGGGGAAUAUUGCACAAUGGGCGCAAGCCUGAUGGAGCCAUGCCGCGUGUGUGAAGAAGGCCUUCGGGUUGUAAAGCACUUUCAGCGAGGAGGCGUUACUCGCAGAGGAAGCACCGGCUAACUCCGUGCCAGCAGCCGCGGUAAUAC